RNAcentral lists this ribosomal RNA (744 nucleotides) under uncultured bacterium. RNAcentral describes it as "bacterial SSU rRNA". It matches the Rfam family "Bacterial small subunit ribosomal RNA", at positions 8 to 796 of the family's 1533-position model. The record is from RNAcentral.
AGAGUUUGAUCAUGGCUCAGAGCGAACGCUGGCGGCAGGCUUAACACAUGCAAGUCGAGCGGGCGUAGCAAUACGUCAGCGGCAGACGGGUGAGUAACGCGUGGGAACGUACCUUUUGGUUCGGAACAACCCAGGGAAACUUGGGCUAAUACCGGAUAAGCCCUUACGGGGAAAGAUUUAUCGCCGAAAGAUCGGCCCGCGUCUGAUUAGCUAGUUGGUGAGGUAAUGGCUCACCAAGGCGACGAUCAGUAGCUGGUCUGAGAGGAUGAUCAGCCACAUUGGGACUGAGACACGGCCCAAACUCCUACGGGAGGCAGCAGUGGGGAAUAUUGGACAAUGGGCGCAAGCCUGAUCCAGCCAUGCCGCGUGAGUGAUGAAGGCCCUAGGGUUGUAAAGCUCUUUUGUGCGGGAAGAUAAUGACGGUACCGCAAGAAUAAGCCCCGGCUAACUUCGUGCCAGCAGCCGCGGUAAUACGAAGGGGGCUAGCGUUGCUCGGAAUCACUGGGCGUAAAGGGUGCGUAGGCGGGUCUUUAAGUCAGGGGUGAAAUCCUGGAGCUCAACUCCAGAACUGCCUUUGAUACUGAAGAUCUUGAGUUCGGGAGAGGUGAGUGGAACUGCGAGUGUAGAGGUGAAAUUCGUAGAUAUUCGCAAGAACACCAGUGGCGAAGGCGGCUCACUGGCCCGAUACUGACGCUGAGGCACGAAAGCGUGGGGAGCAAACAGGAUUAGAUACCCCGGUAGUCC